UGCCCAUUUUGUGCAGUUGAUAGUAUUUUAAGCAGCGCCUAGCUGUACAAACGUCAGGUAAAGAAGGUAUUGAUUCAAACGUGUUUAACAUCCUUGAAAUUUUUGUACAUCAAACUUGAUUAUGUCGGUCUAUAAGGGCUUCGUAUUUGCGUUGGUUGUUCUGGCACCACUAUUACUAUUCCGCUGCUCGGGAGAUCGAAUCGAUAAUGGAGGUAUCGCUUCAUGUAACAAAACCUGCACUGUCUAUACGAAUGGAAGCAACAGCGGAUGCCCAACGGGCUGCUCUUGCAUCAGCGACAACUACAGUGCUACUGUUGGCGGAGGACAAAACCCACCUGGAAAAGGGAGCUGCUGGGCCACCUCAGGCUAAGGCACUUGAGCCUAAAUGAAAAGAAGGGACUUCCAGAUCUUGGCAUGCGUUAUACAAAGAUGCAUAUUGGACGUUUGAUUGGAUACCGGACCAACUGUGUGUGCAUUGGACAAUUAGAGAUUUGUCAAGGAAGAAUACACGUUGUCUGUUUAUUUCUCCAUGUCCAUAAUUAAGUGUUGGUUUCACAGAUUAAAAAAGGCACUUUCUUUUAAUAA
Molecule: long non-coding RNA, 585 nt
Organism: Rhipicephalus sanguineus (brown dog tick)
Lineage: Eukaryota; Metazoa; Arthropoda; Arachnida; Ixodida; Ixodidae
Exons: 3
Source: RefSeq, a predicted model, not a curated record